Molecule: long non-coding RNA, 1154 nt
Filed under: Cricetulus griseus (Chinese hamster)
Lineage: Eukaryota; Metazoa; Chordata; Mammalia; Rodentia; Cricetidae
Description: lncRNA (ENSCGRG00015032116.1)
Source: RNAcentral
CAGUCCUCCACCCACAGGUUCAGUCACCUAAGCAACCCAGGUUGAUGUCCUGCAAGUUGGGACAACUGUGGCUCAAUGUGGGCUUGAUAGAGUAGGGAAUCUGGGAACUUUAGUGCUCAUUAGAGAGACAGGCCAGUCUAUGCAGUGAGGCGUCCAGGACAAGGUGGAUUGUGAGCCUCAGUCAGAGGAAGACCCAGCAGCCUGCCCAGCACUUGGGACUUUGGGGUCAUGAACACCACCUAUGUGGAAAGGGUCCCAAUCAACCCAUUCUACAUGUCCCCUGAAAAUGACCGAGAUGAUACUGACUCAACGAUCGACUUGGCUGGCUUCAUUUGUAUGGGAAAAUAAGCUCCUGUUACUCCUUUUUGCUUCCUUCUACCCAUUCCUACUACUUCCCCAUGGUUAACCACCCUCCCCCCUUCCCUCCUUGGACCCCUGAUAGGGCUCCUCUUAUUAUUUUCCUGUGGCCCUUGAGCCUUUAAUUGACUUGUGGUCAAGCAACAAAUGGACUCUGCCAUUAAGCCUGUCCUGGUCCAAUACUAACCCACUUCCCCACAGCCAGCUUCAGAGGUGCAGACCUGAUGGUACUACAAGGAGACGUCAUCUUCUGAGGAAUAUGCCUGUGUGCAAUGGGGUCGAUGUCCUAAAGCUCCCCCACCCCCACAAAAGGCAUCCAGACGGUCGUGCCUUUCAGAUGGCUCCAAGAAGCUGUCCCCAAGGGCAGAGAAAAUGGUCCUUUAUAAAAUCCACAUAGAUUCUCCAACUAGGGGCCAGGCCUCUAUCCCCCUCUGCUGAAAAUUUUGGCCACUUCUUUUUAUACAAGGAAGGGGGAAUGUGUUGGAAACCAAAGAUCUCAGGGCUUGGCUUGAGAUCCUAGGCCAUUUUUGGCUGGCCACAUAGUUGUAUACUAACCUUUACAUAGCAGCUCCUUAGAACCUCAGCUCAAGAAAAGAAACAACUUGACCCAGUCCUCCACCCACAGGCUCAGUCACCUAGGCAACCCUUCCUGGACCUCUUACUCAUGAACUCUUUACACUGCCAAACUUCCUCUUUUUGGCUUCCUAAUAUCCUGCCUACACUAAUACCUGGAGCACAAACAACCCAUUCUACCCCUCCCCAUAUCCUGCUCUACUGACUAUAUAAGCUAGCCUGAG